CGUGUAGGCGGGUCUUUAAGUCAGGGGUGAAAUGCCAAGGCUCAACCUUGGAACUGCCUUUGAUACUGGAGAUCUUGAGUCCGGGAGAGGUGAGUGGAACUGCGAGUGUAGAGGUGAAAUUCGUAGAUAUUCGCAAGAACACCAGUGGCGAAGGCGGCUCACUGGCCCGGAACUGACGCUGAGACGCGAAAGCGUGGGGAGCAAACAGGAUUAGAUACCCUGGUAGUCCACGCUGUAAACGAUGGAUGCUAGCCGUUGGGGAGCUUGCUCUUCAGUGGCGCAACUAACGCUUUAAGCAUCCCGCCUGGGGAGUACGGUCGCAAGAUUAAA
This 330-nucleotide ribosomal RNA is filed under the name uncultured bacterium. Its description in RNAcentral is "bacterial SSU rRNA". It matches the Rfam family "Bacterial small subunit ribosomal RNA", at positions 568 to 898 of the family's 1533-position model. The record is from RNAcentral.